UUGUAUUUUAAAAACAGCUUUCCUGUAAAUGAGUUACUAUGAAAUACUUUCAGCUCAGAUCAAACAUGCACUCUUUUUGACAAUAUUUGUAACCAUGUUUACUGUACAGCAUGUGAUUACAUGUGUGUUGUUUUUUAGCGCAAAGUGAGGAUUCGGAUUCACACAUCUUACUCCUAAGUAAAGGUAAAAAAAUAUGGGGGCAUCGCAGAGUGAACCUACAGAAGAGCAAAGGAAAGUAGAAGAACGGGAAAGAAGAAAGUGUCCUUGUAGCAGAGAGAGAGAACUGGACACAAGAGAGAGAAACCUGGACAUUAGAGAGAGAGAACUGGACACAAGAGAGAGAAACCUGGACAUUAGAGAGAGAGAACUGGACACAAGAAAGAGAGAACUGGACACAAGAGAGCAAGAACUGUUUGGAAGAAAAAGGUGUAACAGUAAAGAAGAGCCCCCCAACAUGUCUGGAGUCUCCAAACGAUUUUAAUUCAGAACUCUAGAAGGAAGUGAGUUGUCGGAUUUCCAGAAAGGCUGAGAACAACUGAUUAAUGGAUUCAUCAUCUUAUAUAAACUUGAAGAGUUUUAUGACGGCCCUGCAACCCUUAUAAUGGUUGACUGCUUUGUGUCGUGGAACGAUCUUCCCAUUUCCACAUGUACUGUUGGUAUCCUUUAAAGGGGAACGGAAAACUCUUUUCUAUGAGCACUUGUUUUAAUUUUUUUUUAUAAAAAAUAUAUAUAUAGAAUAAUAAUAAUAUGAAUAUACAUAUAGAU
Molecule: non-coding RNA, 765 nt
Organism: Danio rerio (zebrafish)
Lineage: Eukaryota; Metazoa; Chordata; Actinopteri; Cypriniformes; Danionidae
Source: RefSeq, a predicted model, not a curated record